This 2947-nucleotide ribosomal RNA is filed under the name Agrobacterium bohemicum. RNAcentral's name for it is "23S ribosomal RNA". It matches the Rfam family "Bacterial large subunit ribosomal RNA". Lineage: Bacteria; Pseudomonadati; Pseudomonadota; Alphaproteobacteria; Hyphomicrobiales; Rhizobiaceae. The record is from RNAcentral.
GAAGAAGUGAAUUAAGGGCAUUUGGUGGAUGCCUUGGCAUGCACAGGCGAAGAAGGACGUGAUACGCUGCGAUAAGCCGUGGGGAGCUGCGAAUAAGCUUUGAUCCAUGGAUUUCCGAAUGGGGGAACCCACCUUAGAUAUCUAGAAAAUCUGUUUUGCUAGACACCUUGAUGUUUUGAACGGUUUGCAUGGGACUUCCCAUACAGACCGUUAGGUCGUCGCCAACAGUUUGGCGCGCCGUCCGCAGGCCUUUGGCCGUGAGGACAGAACAAACCCGGCGAUACCGGGUUCGAGGGUUCAGCGAAAGAGGUUUCUAGAUAUCACAAUAAGGUAUCUGCAUCUGAAUACAUAGGGUGUAAGAAGCGAACUCAGGGAACUGAAACAUCUAAGUACCUGAAGGAAAGGACAUCAACCGAGACUCCGUAAGUAGUGGCGAGCGAACGCGGACCAGGCCAGUGGCAAUGAUGAAUAAAGUGGAACGCUUUGGAAAAUGCGGCCAUAGCGGGUGAUAGCCCCGUACACGUAGAACAAUCAUUGUCCUUGAGUAGGGCGGGACACGUGAAAUCCUGUCUGAACAUGGGGAGACCACUCUCCAAGCCUAAGUACUCGUGCAUGACCGAUAGCGAACAAGUACCGUGAGGGAAAGGUGAAAAGCACCCCGACGAGGGGAGUGAAAUAGAACCUGAAACCGGAUGCCUACAAGCAGUCGGAGCUCGAAAGAGUGACGGCGUACCUUUUGUAUAAUGGGUCAACGACUUAGUGUAGCAAGCAAGCUUAAGCCGGUAGGUGUAGGCGUAGCGAAAGCGAGUCUGAAUAGGGCGUUUAGUUUGUUGCAUUAGACCCGAAACCGAGUGAUCUAGCCAUGAGCAGGCUGAAGGUUGGGUAACACCAACUGGAGGGCCGAACCCAUAUCUGUUGCAAUAGAUUGGGAUGACUUGUGGCUAGGGGUGAAAGGCCAAUCAAACUCGGAAAUAGCUGGUUCUCCGCGAAAACUAUUUAGGUAGUGCGUCGAUCGAAUACCCUCGGGGGUAGAGCACUGGAUGGGCUAUGGGGACUCACCGUCUUACUGAUCCUAACCAAACUCCGAAUACCGAGGAGUACUAAUCGGCAGACACACGGCGGGUGCUAACGUCCGUCGUGAAGAGGGCAACAACCCUGACCUCCAGCUAAGGUCCCCAAGUCAUGGCUAAGUGGGAAAGGAUGUGAGGAUCCCAAAACAACCAGGAUGUUGGCUUAGAAGCAGCCAUCAUUUAAAGAAAGCGUAACAGCUCACUGGUCUAAAUAAGGGUCUUUGCGCCGAAAAUGUAACGGGGCUAAAGCCAUGCACCGAAGCUGAGGAUAGUACAGUUAUAGUGACUGUGCUGUGGUAGCGGAGCGUUCCGUAAGUCUGUGAAGGGGGACCCGUGAGGGCCCCUGGAGAUAUCGGAAGUGCGAAUGUUGACAUGAGUAACGAUAAAGGGAGUGAGAGACUCCCUCGCCGAAAGACCAAGGGUUCCUGCUUAAAGUUAAUCUGAGCAGGGUUAGCCGGCCCCUAAGACGAGGCGGACACGCGUAGUCGAUGGGAACCACGUUAAUAUUCGUGGGCCUGGUGGUAGUGACGGAUCUCGUGUGUUGUACAUUCUUAUUGGAUUGAAUGUGCGGCGAAGAGGUUCCAGGAAAUAGCUCCACCGUAUAGACCGUACCCGAAACCGACACAGGUGGUCAGGUAGAGUAUACCAAGGCGCUUGAGAGAACUAUGUUGAAGGAACUCGGCAAAUUGCACGCGUAACUUCGGAAGAAGCGUGACCCUGUUGUACGCAAGUAUGUCAGGGUGGCACAGACCAGGGGGUAGCGACUGUUUAUCAAAAACACAGGGCUCUGCGAAGUAGCAAUACGACGUAUAGGGUCUGACGCCUGCCCGGUGCUGGAAGGUUAAAGGGAGGGGUGCAAGCUCUGAACUGAAGCCCCAGUAAACGGCGGCCGUAACUAUAACGGUCCUAAGGUAGCGAAAUUCCUUGUCGGGUAAGUUCCGACCUGCACGAAUGGCGUAACGACUUCCCCGCUGUCUCCAACAUAGACUCAGUGAAAUUGAAUUCCCCGUGAAGAUGCGGGGUUCCUGCGGUCAGACGGAAAGACCCCGUGCACCUUUACUAUAGCUUUACACUGGCAUUCGCCAAGGCAUGUGUAGGAUAGGUGGUAGGCUUUGAAGCGGGGACGCCAGUUCUCGUGGAGCCAUCCUUGAAAUACCACCCUUAUCUUCGUGGAUGUCUAACCGCGGUCCGUUAUCCGGAUCCGGGACAGUGUAUGGUGGGUAGUUUGACUGGGGCGGUCGCCUCCGAAAGAGUAACGGAGGCGCGCGAUGGUGGGCUCAGACCGGUCGGAAAUCGGUCGUCGAGUGCAAUGGCAUAAGCCCGCCUGACUGCGAGACUGACAAGUCGAGCAGAGACGAAAGUCGGUCAUAGUGAUCCGGUGGUCCCGUGUGGAAGGGCCAUCGCUCAACGGAUAAAAGGUACGCCGGGGAUAACAGGCUGAUGACCCCCAAGAGUCCAUAUCGACGGGGUUGUUUGGCACCUCGAUGUCGACUCAUCGCAUCCUGGGGCUGGAGCAGGUCCCAAGGGUAUGGCUGUUCGCCAUUUAAAGCGGUACGUGAGUUGGGUUCAGAACGUCGUGAGACAGUUCGGUCCCUAUCUGCCGUGGGUGUAGGAAUAUUGACAGGAUCUGUCCCUAGUACGAGAGGACCGGGAUGGACGUAUCUCUGGUGGAUCUGUUGUCCUGCCAAGGGCAUAGCAGAGUAGCUAUAUACGGAAUGGAUAACCGCUGAAGGCAUCUAAGCGGGAAACCAACCUGAAAACGAGUGUUCCCUAUCAGAGCCGUGGAAGACGACCACGUUGAUAGGACGGGUGUGGAAGUGCAGUAAUGCAUGAAGCUUACCGUUACUAAUAGCUCGAUCGACUUCUUCGUUCCCAUU